Molecule: ribosomal RNA, 1480 nt
Filed under: uncultured bacterium
Lineage: Bacteria
Description: bacterial SSU rRNA
Rfam family: Bacterial small subunit ribosomal RNA
Source: RNAcentral
UGGUUUGAUCCUGGCUCAGGAUGAACGCUAGCGGCAGGCCUAAUACAUGCAAGUCGAGGGGUAAGGCUCACUUCGGUGGGUACACGACCGGCGCACGGGUGCGUAACGCGUAUGCAACCUACCUAUAACUGGAGGAUAGCCCCGAGAAAUCGGGAUUAAUACUCCAUAACAACAUUUUUUGGCAUCAUURGGKGUUUAAAGCUCCGGCGGUUAUAGAUGGGCAUGCGUGACAUUAGUUAGUUGGUGAGGUAACGGCUCACCAAGACUACGAUGUCUAGGGGUUCGGAGAGGAAGAUCCCCCACACUGGUACUGAGACACGGACCAGACUCCUACGGGAGGCAGCAGUAAGGAAUAUUGCGCAAUGGAGGAAACUCUGACGCAGCCAUGCCGCGUGAAGGAUGAAGGCCUUAUGGGUCGUAAACUUCUUUUAUCAGGGAAUAAACCCUCGCUCGUGAGCGAGGCUGAAGGUACCUGAAGAAUAAGCACCGGCUAACUCCGUGCCAGCAGCCGCGGUAAUACGGAGGGUGCAAGCGUUAUCCSGAUUCAUUGGGUUUAAAGGGUGCGCAGGCGGACUUUUAAGUCAGUGGUGRAAUCCCGGGGCUCAACCCCGGAACUUCCAUUKAUACUGAAAGUCUUGAGUUUKGUUGAAGUAGGCGGAAUKUAGCAUGUAGCGGUGAAAUGCUUAGAUAUGCUACAGAACACCGAUCCCGAAGGCAGCUUACUAAACCAAKACUGACGCUCAGGCACGAAAGCGUGGGARCRAAMAGRAUWAGAUACCCUGGUAGYCCMCCCCGUAAACUAUGAUCACUCGUUGUUGGCRAUACACAGUCAGCGACCAAGCGAAAGCAAUAAGUGAUCCMCCUGGGRAGUACGAUCGCAAGGUUGAAACUCAAAGGAAUUGACGGGGGCCCGCAMAAGCGGUGGAGCAUGUGGUUUAAUUCGAUGAUACGCGAGGAACCUUACCUGGGCUCAAAUGUAGAGUGACAACCCCCRAAAGGGGGCUUUCUUCGGACACUUUACAAGGUGCUGCAUGGUUGUCGUCAGCUCGUGCCGUGAGGUGUCGGGUUAAGUCCCAUAACGAGCGCAACCCCUACUCUUAGUUGCCAGCAUGUAAUGAUGGGGACUCUAGGAGAACUGCCUACGCAAGUAGAGAGGAAGGUGGGGAUGACGUCAAAUCAGCACGGCCCUUACGUCCAGGGCUACACACGUGCUACAAUGGCCGGUACAGAGGGCAGCCACCACGCGAGUGGGAGCAAAUCUCCAAAGCSGGUCUCAGUUSGGAUCGAAGUCUGCAAUUCGACUUCGUGAAGCUGSCCCCGCUAGUAAUCGCGCAUCAGCCAUGGCGCGGUGAAUACGUUCCCGGGCCUUGUACACACCGCCCGUCAAGCCAUGGAAGCUGGGAGUACCUGAAGUCGGUAACCGAAAGGAGCUGCCUAGGGUAAAACUGGUAACUGGGGCUAAGUCGUAACAAGGUAGCCG